This 635-nucleotide unclassified non-coding RNA is filed under the name Hevea brasiliensis (rubber tree). The record is from RNAcentral. Lineage: Eukaryota; Viridiplantae; Streptophyta; Magnoliopsida; Malpighiales; Euphorbiaceae.
AGACAAAUACACAAAUCUCGAUCUGCACAUGGUGGAAACACCAGAGAAAAGCCAAAAGAUCAGAAUAGUAUCACAGGAAAAAACAAUUGACUUUAUAUCACUUUAAUAAUAAAACAUAGAGGUAAUACCCAUGUUACAUCAAACAAAAUAAUCAACAAUUGCAAAGACAACAAGUAAUUACUGUGUCAGGCAUUUCCUCAUGAAAACAAACCUAAGUGUAUUGGUCAGCCUGUCCCCAAGUAUUGCCUUGCAAUCUUCCAAUGCAAUGAUGGGGAGGGAAAAAAAUGAUUAGAUAUAACAAAAUUCCAAUGAUUAAAUUGCAUGUAAAAUAACUUGGAAUAUCUUCUUUCAUGUACCUAGAUCAUGCAUGUAAACUAAAUUGCAUCUCUCUUUAAAAGCACAAGUUUCAUGCACAAAGAUCAGAUGAUAAUCUUACCCAUUCUUUGUUUUCCACAAGCUAUAACCCCAUGCACUUUACAAGGACUAAUUUCCAUUUGUUUUCAUAUGUUCGCCAAAAUUGCUACUCAUGGUUGUCUACAAAUUACCUAAUGCAUCCCACAUCGGUUCUGCAGGGAGGCUUUGGGUGAUAUAUAUAUAGGUUUGCAAAACUUCACUUGUGAGCUAGCUUUUGAGGU